AGGGGAUCGUAAGACCUUGCGCUUUUGGAGCGGCCGAUGUCUGAUUAGCUAGUUGGUGGGGUAAUGGCCUACCAAAGCUUCGAUCAGUAGUUGGUCUGAGAGGACGGCCAGCCACACUGGGAGUGAGACGCGGCCCAGACUCCUACGGGAGGCAGCAGUGGGGAAUUUUGGACAAUGGGCGCAAGCCUGAUCCAGCCAUGCCGCGUGAGUGAAGAAGGCCUUCGGGUUGUAAAGCUCUUUCAGCCGGGAAGAAAAGGGUGCGAUUAAUAAUCGCAGUUCAUGACGGUACCGGAAGAAGAAGCACCGGCUAACUACGUGCCAGCAGCCGCGGUAAUACGUAGGGUGCGAGCGUUAAUCGGAAUUACUGGGCGUAAAGGGUGCGCAGGCGGUUUUGUAAGUCAGAUGUGA
This 408-nucleotide ribosomal RNA is filed under the name uncultured ammonia-oxidizing bacterium. Its description in RNAcentral is "bacterial SSU rRNA". It matches the Rfam family "Bacterial small subunit ribosomal RNA", at positions 198 to 597 of the family's 1533-position model. The record is from RNAcentral.